Molecule: ribosomal RNA, 459 nt
Filed under: uncultured bacterium
Lineage: Bacteria
Description: partial 16S ribosomal RNA
Rfam family: Bacterial small subunit ribosomal RNA
Source: RNAcentral
CCUACGGGAGGCUGCAGUGAGGAAUAUUGGUCAAUGGCCGAGAGGCUGAACCAGCCAAGUCGCGUGAGGGAAGACGGCCCUACGGGUUGUAAACCUCUUUUGUCGGGGAGCAAAGCGAGUCACGUGUGACUCAUUGAGAGUACCCGAAGAAACAGCAUCGGCUAACUCCGUGCCAGCAGCCGCGGUAAUACGGAGGAUGCGAGCGUUAUCCGGAUGUAGUGGGUUGAAGGGGUGCGUAGGCGGCGGAGCAAGUCAGCGGUAAAAUUGCGGGGCUCAACCCCGUAGUGCAGUUGAAACUGCAUCGCUUGAGUGCGAGAGAGGUAUGCGGAAUGAGUGGUGUAGCGGUUAAAUGCAUAGAUAUCACGCAGAACUCCGAUUGCGAAGGCAGCAUACCGGCGCGCAACUGACGCUCAGGCACGAAAGCGUGGGGAUCGAACAGGAUUAGAUACCCCUGUAGUC